Molecule: unclassified non-coding RNA, 315 nt
Filed under: Hevea brasiliensis (rubber tree)
Lineage: Eukaryota; Viridiplantae; Streptophyta; Magnoliopsida; Malpighiales; Euphorbiaceae
Source: RNAcentral
GGCAACCAGAUAUGCCAUAGGCAGUUACACAAUAGGUGUAAACUAUAAGGGCCACUGAGAGAAAACUUAAUUCCAAUAUAUCAAGGAUGUUUAAGUGGACCUUAGGUUUCCAUAAUAGUUAUCCAUCGGCUGAAAUCAUUCCUUAAGCAAACAUUUUUUUUUUACAUAUCCAUCAGAUGAAAGGAAAAAAAUACAAUUAGGAAUGACAAAUGAACACAUCAGACUCCAGAAAGUAUGGAGGGAAAAUAUAGAAAGAAGGAAAACACAGGUAUGUGCACAAAAAUGUAUGACCAAUGUGCAGUACAGUUCUAACCU